AAUGUCAUGGACAUCGUCACAUUUCGAAAGGAGCAAAGUUCAAGCGCCAAAGUAUCUUAUCUCAAAAUAGUUUUCCAAAUGACUCAUGGAAGAUGCCUGCAGAGGAAAGUUUUGCGGCUCAUUUAAAAAUAGAUCGACCUCUACCGCAGCCCAGCCAGCUGUUACCACUCUCAUCACGGACUUUAUUUCAGUUCACCCACUUCCGACAAUGGGUUUCAUUCGGGAUACAGCACACACAUGCGCCGGUGCAAUGGGCCACUGACUGCGGUGACUAGAUCAUGCAAUUCUCCUGCUCUACAAAGGCUGAUAAGAAACACAAUAAGAGUGAAAGAGAAAUGGCCUUAUCAAUAACAACAAAAAACCGAACAAUGCAUUUCAGACUUUAAUCACAAAAGCAUAUAGCAAGACUGUAAAUUGGCAAGUUUUGAGGAUACGAAAAUGUAAAUUCUUUUAGAUAAUUUAUAAUAUACAUAUAUAUUUAUGUAUAUAUAUUAUAAUCGCACUGCCUUUUCGGAUUUUUUGCCCGCUAACGUUCAAAACAAAGAUUCUUUGAGUGAAGUAAUCCAGCGUAAAGCGUAAAUAAACAAAGUUCGCGCUUAUGAUGUAAGUUUUGCUUACUACAGCAUUACCCCUUGUGUGCAAACAAACUGGUGGUGGCAUUCAUCGCCCUAUCCCAUAGCUCCCGUUCCCGUAUCAUAACACCGCUAAAAAUAAACAAAUCGUGACAAAUUGCUGUAAGUGCAGCCGACGCUAUCUGCCCCCCAGAAGACAAUGGCAUCCACUAUCGGUACUAUCCAUCGGUUUCCCCGCCCUCUCCACCUGCCAAUCGGAUUGGAGUAUGACUGAGUCACAUCAUUUCCAUGAGCCGCAACCUCUCGACGACCUACAUCCCAGUUGGCACCGCAAGUUACACAUUCAACGCCGGGCACCAAAGUUAGCACUUCCAAAGGCAGUCGUGUGCUUAUAUUGGCCAGUGGUCGUCAAAUUCAAUUAUGAUGUCACUGUCGCCAAGUCAAUGAACGUCUUCCGACACCUUAAACAGACAACAUACAUCAACAAAUACAGCGGCUAGUCAUCCCCGACCGCUGCCUCCAUAUGGCAAACGGCGUCGUGAUUUGUACAAAAUACAGCGGAAGGAAAAAACGAGCGAAAAUAAGCCGGCCAUAACUGUAGACGCCAGGGGACAGAACCAAUCGGGCGUCAAGAAAUUGGAACACCAAAGAGCCGUUCAUGCCAUCUCAUCUCCUCCAGCGCGCCACAUCCCACUCCAGAUGUGCCCACUGCUCGGCGAUAAGGCAGCAGUGUCGAGUAUCGGAUUCGAAUCAUAAAAACGUAAACGACAAAAGCGAAACGCACGGCAAACAAACAAUACAAUAGAAACUGGUGUGAGAUAAAGCCCGAGCCAGUAUGAAAGAAAACGCAACAACAACAAUAGUAAUAAUAAUAAAUGGAAAUUAAAAAUUGAUUGCUUCUUUGGCCGGCGCUUCUUGGCAUCCGCCUCGGUACAGUGGUUGUGCAUUGAUUGAAAAGCGAAGGCUCGGUUUUGCUUGGUAGCUUUAUGGCAAUUGUGGCAUUCUGGGAAGGGCCUAUCUAUCGUCUGCUUUUAUUCUGGGAAUGCUUUCUCACGUUGUUUACUUUUCAACGAAUCGCACACAAGAAAUCAAACCACAGUGCACUCUGGUUAAGAGGGAUACAGUUCACCAAUACCGCCAAAGACCGACAGUCGUUGUUAUUGUUCGUUAAUCAGAGACAACCUCGCGAUUGGAUUUCGUUGGGCAAAAGCGAAUCACUUGACCAGCUGAGUUUGGCCAAAACGGAAAUCCAACAUUAUUCACUCUCUCUAUCUGGCCUGUUCACCGAUUCACCCACCGAGUAUACACGUAACGCCGAAUCCCCGCUAGAUUUAUGAUCACCACUCACCUCAUGGCUGC
This is a long non-coding RNA of Drosophila simulans, 1931 nucleotides long. RefSeq lists it as uncharacterized. Lineage: Eukaryota; Metazoa; Arthropoda; Insecta; Diptera; Drosophilidae. The transcript is spliced from 4 exons. The record is from RefSeq and is a predicted model, not a curated record.